This 2057-nucleotide long non-coding RNA is filed under the name Homo sapiens (human). Its description in RNAcentral is "HSALNT0380329". Lineage: Eukaryota; Metazoa; Chordata; Mammalia; Primates; Hominidae. The record is from RNAcentral.
GUGGAUUUAUAGCCCACUCCCAUGGAUGCCUUAGAACACUCAGUAUUGUUGGAUAUGCAGCCCACUGCAUGGAUGCCUCAGAACACUCAGUAUUGGUGGAUUUACAGCCAACUCCCAUGGAUGCCUGAGAACACUCAGUAUUGGUGGAUUUAUAGCCCACUCCCAUGGAUGCCUUAAAACAGUAUUGAUGGAUACGCAGCCCACUCCAAUGGAUAUCUUAGAACACUCAGUAUUGGUGGAUUUAUAGCCCACUCCCAUGGACGCCUUAGAAUACUCAGUAUUGUUGGAUACGCAGCCCACUCCAUGGAUGCCUUAGAACACUCAGUGGAUAUGUGACACACUUACAUGGAUGCUUCUUUUGGGGAAUAUUGUAUAGGUUAAAACUUUGGGCAAAUUUUCUCUUCCACAGUGUUUUCGAAUGAUGGAAACAGAAUGAGAUGAAGACUGUCCAUUGAUAUAAAUAGUAACUCAUUAUUUUUCCUCUUUGGGAGUUACUCCUCUGUCCUCAAAGCUAAUUCAAUGUGUGGGCCUUCUUUCUGAUGAGCACCAGGGAAUUGAGACAUUCUUCUUGGCCUUAACUAUCAGCUCAGCAGUGGUGAGCAGCAUGUGUCAUCGGUCGAGGAGCCAGUAUCCAGGGAAACCAGUCUUCAGAUGCAGUGUGUGCCCUUCACGAGGGACUCAGAAGGUGAAGCACCUGAACAUAGACUUUUCCAUGCUUUUCCACAAAAUUUAAGAGUUUCUUUUUUGUUUGUUUUAAAUUCGAGUGGCACAAAACAAGGCUCCUUAACUUUUCUGAAUGAGUGAAGAGUGUAAGAAGGUGUCAAAUAUCCACAAGCCCCGAGCACAUUUACUUAUCACACAGAACUGUUUCUUCUUUUGUGUAUUUCCUUGGCACUACUUUUAUUUUUUAACUAAACUUUUUAGUUUUUCUUUGCCACAUAGUUUUGUGAAUGAUAAUGUGAGAAACUAUAAAUUUAGUCAAAGUAUCCUGCCUGCACCUCUUUAAUAAUCACCAACUUCUUACCAUUGACUCACUUAUAACCGUUUCCAGAUUUAUGGAGGUAAAAUUACAAAUAAGUUACAUACCUUUAAGGUGUAAAACUUGACGUUUUGAUAUAUGUAUACACUGUGAAAAGAUCACCACAAUCAAACUAAUUAACAUGUCCAUCAUCUCACACGGUUACUAGAUUUUUUGUGUGUGCGGUGAGAACUCUUAAGAUCUACUCUCUUAGCAAAUUCCCGGUGUGGAAUAGGCAUUACUAACCAUAGUCACUGGGUGUCCAGAACGUACUCAUCUCGCAUAACUGAAAUGUUGAACUCUUCAACAAACAUCUCCCCAUUUCUUUCAUACCCCAAGUUCAACUGUUUUACAUUUCACUUAUAAAUGAGAUCAUACAGUAUUUGUCUUUCUGUGUCUGGAUUAUUUCACUUAUUUGGCUACAUUUGAUAGCAUAUUUUCUUCUUUUUCCUGCAUUUUUCUUAGUGAGAUUUAUAUUAUUUUAAUAAUUUAAAAAUCUGUCUUUCAUUGUGUUUGAGAAAUCUAACUGAAAGUCUAUUCAGAGGAAAAAGAAAGAAGUUGAGAGAAGGAGUAUUCUAAAAAAAGGAUUUGCACGGCAGGGUCUACCCUCUACAGAAAUGCUGCAUUGAAGUAGUUGAUUGUUUUUCUUUUGUUUUCAAGGAAAGAAAACAACCCUUGGUGUUCUUCACAGCCUUGGCUAUUACACCCAGAAUGGAUGAAGACCUAUCGUACCAAUGUGGCAGUUGAAAAGUGAAUUGCAACACAAUGAGAUAUAUUCACAUUAGGAGAGGAGCAGUACCUGUGCAUUCAGAACUGGAACUGCAGGUGUACCAUUACUGUUGAUAGAGGCAUCUCCUGCCGCGGUCCACCCAGCCUGAGCUGCCAGCCUGCCUAGCUUCUGCAAAGCCCCGAGUUGUCAUGGCAACCACUUCCUGAGACUUGAUACUCAUGCCUGCAGACUCUGGGUCCUGACUUAAAUAGUUUUAUUUUUUUUAAAAAGGCAUAAAUUGAUAGUGCAAUAAAAUCUGGUUUAAAGAUU